GCUUGUCUGAGAUGUGUGGGAGGAGGCCUGUGCAAUGAGCAGAACCACAAAGCAUAGUUCUCUUGCAUAGACAUAACAAGAAGUUGCCAAUGGCGCCUGAAAUUCAUAAUAACUUAACUAUUAUAUAUUAAAAUCACAUAUGAAAUUUUAUUAUGUUAACAAAGUUCACUUACCUAGAUAUAUAAGGCAAAAAGUAUAUUUUCUUGCCGCUUGCAAAACUUCUUAUCAGAUUGUUGUUGAUCUGAUCAAAAUCAUUUGAUUCAUGAAUUGAUUGGGGAUCAAUGAAUCCAUAAUCAUCAGAACGCCCCAACUUGUUACUGAACCCAGACAUAUACCUGAAAUCAAAAAUUAACUUUGAUAUAAGGAUACUUGAUAUAUAAAUCAAUUCUAUAUAUAAAUAAUUGCUCACAGACUUACAUCAUCCAUAGCUGAAAAAUUGAAAU
RNAcentral lists this long non-coding RNA (443 nucleotides) under Vigna radiata. RNAcentral's name for it is "long non-coding RNA (VRAD_LNC018089)". Lineage: Eukaryota; Viridiplantae; Streptophyta; Magnoliopsida; Fabales; Fabaceae. The record is from RNAcentral.